GUGGUAUCUUGACUGGAGUUGCAUUGAAUCUGCAGAUCUGCCAACCCUGUGGAGGCUCUGACCCAUGCAUAUGUGCUGCCUCGGUCCCUGGGUCAUCUUCAACCUCUCUCAGAUCGUCAGGCUGGUGGCGUCCACGGCCUCAACUUUACCUCCGUGAUGGAAGAGGGGGAUCUGAGGCUCCCAGGUGGGCCGGCGCCGCCCUACAGGAAAGGAGGGGUCCCUGAGAGGGGCUGCUGCCCUGGUGGGGUUCACAGGCCCCUCACUGCAGGGGACCCGGAGCAAGGGAUGCCCCCUGGAAUGGCCCCGUGACCGGAAAGCGAGCCUGCCCAGCUUCCCCAGGAGGAGCCUGCAGUCCACACUCGCGUAGCCACUCCGACUGGUGGCAGGGUCUCUCCCUGCUCCCUUCCAUAGUCCCGCCACAGCCCACAGCCCUGAGGAAGCCUGGGGGUGGAGGGUGCCCCGGCCAGGGUCUCUGUGACUCACACUCAGGGUGGGCCAGGCGUCCACAGGCUGGGGGCGGGCUGGAGGACAGUGGCAGCCCCAGGUGGCCACACAGCA
Molecule: long non-coding RNA, 558 nt
Filed under: Pan troglodytes (chimpanzee)
Lineage: Eukaryota; Metazoa; Chordata; Mammalia; Primates; Hominidae
Description: long non-coding RNA NONPTRT009430
Source: RNAcentral